UUCCGUUGAACGCCGAGGGUCAUCACACUGGACGUGCGGCACUUCACCGUGCGUACGAACUGGCGCAUCACAUCCCCGGCCUGCGGCA
This 88-nucleotide transfer RNA is filed under the name Streptomyces sp. PVA_94-07. Lineage: Bacteria; Bacillati; Actinomycetota; Actinomycetes; Kitasatosporales; Streptomycetaceae. The record is from RNAcentral.